GAGCUGGCUCCUUUGACGUUAGCGGCGGACGGGGGAGUAACACGUGGGGUAACCUACCUAUAAGACCGGGGAAAACUCCGGGAAACCGGAGCUAAUACCGGAUAACAUUGGGAACCGCAGGGUUCCUAAAGUGAAAGAGGGUUUUCGCUAUCACUUAAUAGAUGGACCCGCGCCGUAUUAGCUAGUUCGGUAAGGUAACGGCUUAACCAAGGCGACGAUACGUAGCCGACCUGAGAGGGUGAUCGGCCACACUGGAACUGAGACACGGUCCAGACUCCUACGGGAGGCAGCAGUAGGGAAUCUUCCGCAAUGGGCGAAAGCCUGACGGAGCAACGCCGCGUGAGUGAUGAAGGGUUUCGGCUCGUAAAACUCUGUUAUUAGGGAAGAACAAACGUGUAAGUAACUGUGCAUGUCUUGACGGUACCUAAUCAGAAAGCCACGGCUAACUACGUGCCAGCAGCCGCGGUAAUACGUAGGUGGCAAGCGUUAUCCGGAAUUAUUGGGCGUAAAGCGCGCGUAGGCGGUUUCUUAAGUCUGAUGUGAAAGCCCACGGCUCACCCGUGGAGGGUCAUUGGAAACU
Molecule: ribosomal RNA, 580 nt
Filed under: Staphylococcus xylosus
Lineage: Bacteria; Bacillati; Bacillota; Bacilli; Caryophanales; Staphylococcaceae
Description: bacterial SSU rRNA
Rfam family: Bacterial small subunit ribosomal RNA
Source: RNAcentral